This 1386-nucleotide ribosomal RNA is filed under the name Triticum aestivum (bread wheat). RNAcentral's name for it is "partial small subunit ribosomal RNA". Lineage: Eukaryota; Viridiplantae; Streptophyta; Magnoliopsida; Poales; Poaceae. The record is from RNAcentral.
AUGUCAAUCACUCAACAAAGAAGCGUAAAGGCCAAUUGCGUUAGCGCAGGCGAGCUUACGGGCAUCGCACUCUCGCCGAUGCUUCCGAACUCGAGAGCCCGCCACCGGCGCGACCCGAGCAAGCUCCUCUACAAGCCGCGCCCGCCGCCGGAGCCGCACCCGUUCCUGCUCCACCUCAAGUCGCUCCCUUCGCCGGUCGCCGCGGCGGCCGCGCUCCUCUCGGCGCCGCGCCGCCUCCACGACCACCCCUUCGCCUCCUGCGUGCUCUACCGCCUGGCCCGCGCGCGCCUCUUCCCGCUCCUCCUCCCGCUCCUCUCCGCGCUCCGCGCCCGCCGCGCCCCGCUCCGCGCCACCGUCUUCGCCGGGCUCAUCGACCGCCUCGGCGCCGCCUCCCGCCCCGACGCGGCCCUCAUCGUCUUCUUCCGCGCCGUUCCCGCCUUCUGCUCCCACUCCAACGCCACCUUCCACGCGCUGAUCCACUGCCUCGUCUGCAACGGACGCGUGGAUGCCGCCCGGAACAUGCUCCCCCGGGCCGCCAAGCUCGGCGUCCGCCCCAACGCCGUCUCCUACAACAUCAUCCUCAAGGGGCUGUGCGGCCGGGACGGGUCCGCGGGCGCCCGCGUGGUGCUCGACGAAAUGCUCGGCCGCGGCGUCCGGCCCACGGUGGUCACCUUCAACACGCUGGUGGGGGCGGCGUGCCAGGAGGGGGACGUGGGCGCGGCGGAGCGGCUCAAGGAAGAGAUGGUGCGCCGGGGCGUCUCGCCGAACGCCGUGACAUACUCCCUCCUGAUGCGGGGUCUCUGCGACGCCGGUCGGCAGGACGACGCCAAGAAGCUGAUGUUCGACAUGGAGUACCAGGGCUGCCAGACCGAGGCGGUGAACUACGGCGUGCUGAUGAGCGCCUACGCGAGGCAGGGCGACGUUGACGCCAUCAGGGGGCUGCUCUCCGACAUGCGCAUGCGCAAGCUCGGGCCCGACGACGCGAGCUACAACGUCCUGAUCAAGUGCCUGUGUGACAGCGGCAGGGUGGAGGAGGCGCACAAGGCGCUCGUCGAGAUGCAGCUCAAAGAUGGCAUGGCGCCAAGCGCGGCGACUUACCGCGUCCUGGCCGACGGGUGCUGCAGAGCCGGCGAUUUCGGGUUGGGGCUACGGGUUUUCAACGCCAUGCUGUCCAGCGGGCAUCGCCCCCUAGGUCACACCUUCAAGCACCUGGCGAAAGGGCUGGGCGAGGACGGCAAGGCGGAGGAAGCCUGCUUCGUCUUGGAGAAGAUGGCGGAGAGUGGGGUGUGCAUGGAUGCAGAAGGGUGGCGGUCUCUUGCAACAUGCGUCUGCAGCGGCAGCGCAGGUGAGGUGAAGCUCGUCGAUGAGCUAGCGUUGUCAUCUUGA